This 772-nucleotide long non-coding RNA is filed under the name Androctonus crassicauda. Lineage: Eukaryota; Metazoa; Arthropoda; Arachnida; Scorpiones; Buthidae. The record is from RNAcentral.
GGCAGAAGGAAAGUUGAGGAAAUCUCAAUCAAGAAAAAAAGUUUUAUUUCUUCAUCUAAAGAAAUAAAAUUAUUCUUUGAGUUUGCAAAAUUUGCUUUUGAAUAAAUUAUUAUCUUACAAAGGGAUCUGGAUAAUUCUGUGAAUUUGAAUGCUGAAAAUACUCACUAGUUUACACCCAAAAUCAUCGCUAGUUUAAACACCCAAAAACAAGAAUUUUUAUCAGUGGACUGUAAACAGGGAUGGAGAUAAGUAAGUUUAAACUUUGAGGAAAUUUUUCUUUUAAUUCCUUGAAUGCUAGCUAUUUUUGUCAUUAAACCUAGUUAAUAUCAAAGAUCACACACCUGUGCCAAUUGUGCCAAACUGCACCAAAUCAAAAAUGCUGCUAUAAACUGCUACAAAUUAUCAUUUUUCCCAUUUUUGUGCCAAAUUCAUGAUCUGCUGGCUCCUUGAAACAAGCAAUCACAAAACGUUUAAACAUAUUGAAAUCAUAAUAGAAAGUUAUCGCACACUUUUUCGAAGCACAGUAGAUCACUAUUGCUGCCCUUGGUCUGUUUACUGAUCUAUGACAUCAAACCAGUCAGAGCACAUUUUGAUGUAUGUGAUUAAAUUGAAGGUUGCUUCAUUACUUUUUUUGUUUUCAUCAAUUAAAUAUAAAUAUUGUUAUCCAAAACCUUUCAUGAAUAUAUUAACAUUAACUGCUAAAUAUUUUAAAAUGCUUUUUUGGAUUUUAAAAAAUAAGUGUAUGAACUCUAUUGGUUUGGCCAUGCUCAAG